GUGAUCUAUCACCAAAGUGCCAGAAGAAAACAAAGGAGAGUUCAGAGGCUACCACCCAUCAAGGAUGCCAAGCUACACAGGCAGAAGUGUAGACCCCAAAAGAUGAGUCAAAUGAAAAAGCUCCAUGUGUCUGAUCUGCCCACUGAAGAGCAGGAGCCUCCACCUGAUGUUGGACCGAAUGCAAAAGUCUGAAGCAACAACUAAACCAGGGUCGAUGAUCAGAUGGUAAGAGUGGAAAUGUCGAUGUUUUGGAUGGAAAGAAGAUGUGCUUACUUCAUUCUUACUAGUGCUCUUGACCCUCAGAGGUUAACAUGUUCUGGUUUGUGCUAUAUUUUGAAGAGAUUAAAACAUUUAAGAAACACA
Molecule: long non-coding RNA, 363 nt
Filed under: Rattus norvegicus (Norway rat)
Lineage: Eukaryota; Metazoa; Chordata; Mammalia; Rodentia; Muridae
Description: long non-coding RNA NONRATT011033
Source: RNAcentral